Molecule: long non-coding RNA, 1315 nt
Organism: Oncorhynchus tshawytscha (Chinook salmon)
Lineage: Eukaryota; Metazoa; Chordata; Actinopteri; Salmoniformes; Salmonidae
Source: Ensembl
CGGUGGGGCAAUAGAGAGAACAGGCACAGAGAGAUCCUGAGAGUGACACACAGGGAACUGUAGAGGACGGUGGGGCAGUAGAGACAACAGGCACAGAGAGAUCCUGAGAGUGACACACAGGGAACUGUAGAGGACAGUGGGGCAGUAGAGACAACAGGCACAGAGAUCCUGAGAGUGACACACAGGGAACUGUAGAGGACGGUGGGGCAGUAGAGAGAACAGACACAGAGAUCCUGAGAGUCACACAGGGAACUGUAGAGGACGGUGGGGCAGUAGAGACAACAGGCACAGAGAGAUCCUGAGAGUCACACAGGGAACUGUAGAGGACAGUGGGGCAGUGGAGAGAACAGGCACAGAGAGAUCCUGAGAGUGACACACAGGGAACUGUAGAGGACGGUGGGGCAAUAGAGAGAACAGGCACAGAGAGAUCCUGAGAGUGACACACAGGGAACUGUAGAGGACGGUGGGGCAGUAGAGACAACAGGCACAGAGAUCCUGAGAGUGACACACAGGGAACUGUAGAGGACGGUGGGGCAGUAGAGACAACAGGCACAGAGAGAUCCUGAGAGUGACACACAGGGAACUGUAGAGGACGGUGGGGCAGUAGAGACAACAGGCACAGAGAUCCUGAGAGUGACACACAGGGAACUGUAGAGGACGGUGGGGCAGUAGAGAGAACAGGCACAGAGAUCCUGAGAGUCACACACAGGGAACUGUAGAGGACGGUGGGGCAGUAGAGACAACAGGCACAGAGAUCCUGAGAGUGACACACAGGGAACUGUAGAGGACGGUGGGGCAGUAGAGAGAACAGGCACAGAGAUCCUGAGAGUGACACACAGGGAACUGUAGAGGAUGGUGGGGCAGUAGAGAGAACAGGCACAGAGAGAUCCUGGGAGAGACACACAGGGAACUGUAGAGGACGGUGGGGCAGUAGAGAGAACAGGCACAGAGAGAUCCUGAGAGUCACACACAGGGAACUGUAGAGGAUGGAGGGGCAGUAGAGAGAACAGGCACAGAGAUCCUGAGAGUCACACACAGGGAACUGUAGAGGACGGUGGGGCAGUAGAGAGAACAGGCACAGAGAUCCUGAGAGUCACACACAGGGAACUGUAGAGGAUGGAGGGGCAGUAGAGAGAACAGGCACAGAGAUCCUGAGAGUCACACACAGGGAACUGUAGAGGACGGUGGGGCAGUAGAGAGAACAGGCACAGAGAUCCUGAGAGUGACACACAGGGAACUGUAGAGGAUGGAGGGGCAGUAGAGACAACAGGCACAGAGAUCCUGAGAGUCACACACAGGGAACUGUAGAGGACGG